Molecule: ribosomal RNA, 373 nt
Filed under: uncultured organism
Description: bacterial SSU rRNA
Rfam family: Bacterial small subunit ribosomal RNA
Source: RNAcentral
CGUAGGUGGCAAGCGUUGUCCGGAAUUACUGGGCGUAAAGAGCGCGUAGGCGGGAAUUUAAGUCAGGAGUGAAAACUGGCGGCUCAACCGCCAGCCUGCUCUUGAAACUGGAUUUCUUGAGGGUAUGAGAGGAAAGCGGAAUUCCCAGUGUAGCGGUGAAAAUGCGUAGAUAUUGGGAGGAACACCAGUGGCGAAGGCGGCUUUCUGGCAUACAACUGACGCUGAGGCGCGAAAGCGUGGGGAGCAAACGGGAUUAGAUACCCCGGUAGUCCACGCCGUAAACGAUGGGCACUAGGUGUAGGAGGUAUCGACCCCUUCUGUGCCGUAGUUAACACAAUAAGUGCCCCGCCUGGGGAGUACGGCCGCAAGGUUG